RNAcentral lists this long non-coding RNA (703 nucleotides) under Marmota monax (woodchuck). The record is from RNAcentral. Lineage: Eukaryota; Metazoa; Chordata; Mammalia; Rodentia; Sciuridae.
GCAGAAAGGACUUGAAAGGAGAGGAAUGCACCUCUGCGCCCCUUACCUGCCAGCCAGGCACCUUCUAGGCUCUGUGUAGUCCUUCCCUUGUCUCAAAGCCCCUCACUCUUCAACGGGACCUCCCUGUGCCACUCGGCAUGCGGGCCCUCUCCCUUGCCUUGCCAUAGCCCGACGCUGAUCAUCUCCGAUUCUUCCAGGGCCAAGGUCUUUCUACCUUGUGAGCAGCCUCGCUGGGCCUAGACCUUGAAGUCUCUAUGUGAGUGUGCCUGUGUGUUUCCCUGGGUUGUUGUUUCUUGGUUCUGCAUUUUGAGUACAAUCAGAGUGUUCAGGCCAAGCGAGCAGGGUGUUGGCUUGGAGUGCGGUUGAACCUGACCAAGUGUACUGAUGAGAUAGCUGUGAGGAGCGAGGGCCGUGAAGGCAGAGCCUGUGGAGGACAGGUUUUCACCUGCCACACAAGUUCCACAGUCAAACCCUCCUGAGCCUGAGGAGGAAACCACACUGGAGAGGGCUCAAGGCUUUGGCCCCUGGAUAAAUUCUAGCCUCUCUGGGAGGUUGACAAGGACUAAAUGCAUAUUUUUAUUCCAGAUACAGAACUACAGAUACAAAGUGCUGUGGGUGGCAGAUGUGCUUUGGAACUGCUCAGAAUAAACUUUGGCUCUGGGUAAAGUGAAAUUUGACCUAUGAAUACAAGUCAUGCCCAUCC